Molecule: long non-coding RNA, 628 nt
Filed under: Phaseolus vulgaris (common bean)
Lineage: Eukaryota; Viridiplantae; Streptophyta; Magnoliopsida; Fabales; Fabaceae
Description: long non-coding RNA (PVUL_LNC004345)
Source: RNAcentral
UUCUCCUCAGACAAAUCCAUGGGUUCGGGUUCGGGCUCAGGCUCAGGUUGCUUGGAGGGUUCGGCUUCCGCGGCUCUCUUCCUCUCGGAAGGUGAGGGCGACGGCGAAUCAGGCAUGUCAGCGUCGGUGGGUGGAGAGGUUUGAAUCUUCACGUUGAGCAAAACCCCUAUGGCAUGCAUAACUCUUUGGUCCUUCAAGUGCAGGUUGAGGUUAUUAGGAUCUUUCUGGAUAUCUUGCAUCAUCUUCAAGAAAUCGGGCUGUUGGAGGUAAGCCCUAGUUACGGGGUCCGCGGUAAGCCGGGUCCACAUCUCGGGCCCAGAGAAAGCAUCUCCGAAGGGGCUAGCGGCGGAGGAGCGGGGUCUGGAGGCGGCAGCUAGGGCCUUCUGCGCAUCGGCCAAACCGGACUUGAGGGGCUCGUUGUUGGGGUCGAUUUCGAGGCCGUUCUUGUAAUCCGAAAUGGCGUCGUCGUAUUGGGAGAGGCCGAGAUGCGCGGCGCCAAGACGACUGUAGCCCUUGGACCAGUCGGGCUUGAGUUCAACGGUCUUCUUGGCAUCGGUUAGGGCAUCGGAGUAGUUUUGGAGGGACGCAUACGCGGCGGAUCGGUUGGAAUAGAGGACGUGGUUGGUGG